UGAUGGAAAGUUGAAAAGAACUUUGAAGAGAGGGUUCAAGAGUACGUGAAACCGCCAUGGGAAAAAACGGACGGGGCCUCGAAGGCAAAGCCGUCGGGAUUCAGCCGAACGGGCCGCGCGAGCGGGCGUCUCCGAUCGCAAGGCGGAGCGUUCGCCCGGCGUCGGCUCCGCACGGUGCACUUCCCGACGGCCGAACGCCACGACCGGUGGGGCGGCUGCCAAAGGGCGAGGCGGGAGCCUGUCGGACGGACCAGUCCCCCGUCAGACCGCCUCUCUCCGGCAGACCGACCUACCGUUCCCGAAAAGCUCGGUGCCCGCGCACGGCGCGUCAGUCUCUCGAACUCUGACCGCGGCGCCCGGCUCUGUGGCGAGUAGAUCGGCGACCCGUCCGACCCGUCUUGAAACACGGACCAAGGAGUCUAACAUGUGCGCGAGUGAUUGGGUGUCGAAGAGACCCAGACGCACAAUGAAAGUGAAGGCUCGGACUGCCGAGCCGAGGGGUGAUCCCGCCGCCCGGCGGCGGGCGCAGCCCCGGGACGCGCCGAUCGCAUCGACGACGGCGCGUACCCCGAGCGUACACGUUGGGACCCGAAAGAUGGUGAACUAUGCCUGGCCAGGACGAAGUCAGAGGAAACUCUGAUGGAGGUCCGUAGCGAUUUUGACGUGCAAAUCAAUCGUCCGAGCUGGGUAUAGGGGCGAAAGACUAAUCGAACCAUCUAGUAGCUGGAUCCAUCCGAAGUUUCCCUCAGGAUAGCUGGCGCUCGCAUGACCGAGUUUCAUCCGGUAAAGCGAAUGAUUAGAGGCCUUGGGGCCGAAACGANCUCAACCUAUUCUCAAACUUUAAAUGGGUGAGAAGUCGGGCUUGCUCGACUGAAGCACCGACCNUNGAAUCGAGAGUGCCAAGUGGGCCACUUUUGGUAAGCAGAACUGGCGCUGUGGGAUGAACCAAACGCAGAGUUAAGGUGCCCGAGAGAACGCUCAUCAGAUCCCAUGAAAGGUGUUGGUUGCUAUAGACAGCAGGACGGUGGCCAUGGAAGUCGGAAUCCGCUAAGGAGUGUGUAACAACUCACCUGCCGAAGCAACUAGCCCUGAAAAUGGAUGGCGCUCAAGCGUUCCACCUAUACUCUGCCGUCGGUGCAACGGCGCGG
Molecule: ribosomal RNA, 1148 nt
Filed under: Facetotecta sp.
Lineage: Eukaryota; Metazoa; Arthropoda; Thecostraca
Description: partial large subunit ribosomal RNA
Rfam family: Eukaryotic large subunit ribosomal RNA
Source: RNAcentral